AGGGUUUGAUCCUGGCUCAGAACGAACGCUGGCGGCGUGGCUAAGACAUGCAAGUCGAACGGACCAUCUGCUUGGGUAACCGAAAUGAUGGUUAGUGGCGAAAUGGUGAGGAAUAAAUAGGUAACGUACCCCGUGCUCCGGGAUAGCGGCAUUUGCCUUCGGGCAAAUUUCCGAAAGGGUCGGUAAUACCGGAUAAUGUGAAAAGUUUUAAGACUUUUCACCAAAGAUUUAUCGGCGUGGGAGCGGCCUAUUUCCUAUCAGCUAGUUGGUAAGGUAAUGGCUUACCAAGGCAUUGACGGGUAGCGGGACUGAGAGGUUGACCCGCCACAUCGGGACUGAGACACUGCCCGGACCUCCACGGAGGGCUGCAGUAACGAAUAUUGGGCAAUGGGCGAAAGCCUGACCCAGCGACGCCGCGUGUAGGAUGAAGUCUUUCGGGAUGUAAACUACUGUCAGGACUUAGAAAGUGUACUUCGGUACAUUGAUCAGGUCCAGAGGAAGUCACGGCUAACUUCGUGCCAGCAGCCGCGGUAAGACGAAGGUGGCUAGCGUUGUUCGGUAUUACUGGGCUUAAAGCGCGCGUAGGCGGAUAGGUAAGCGUCCUGUGAAAUCCCCCGGCUUAACCGGGGAACUGCUGGGCGAACUGUCUAUCUUGAGGCAAGCAGGGGUGCAUGGAACUCUUGGUGGAGCGGUGGAAUGCGUAGAUAUCAAGAGGAACGCCAGUGGGGAAGUCGGUGCACUGGGCUUGUCCUGACGCUGAGGUGCGAAAGCGUGGGGAGCGAAUGGGACUAGAUACCCCGGUAGUCCACGCCGUAAACGAUGUCUACUAGGUUGUGGGGGUUCUGACACCCUCGGGGCCGAAGCAAAAGUGUUAAGUAGACCGCCUGGGGAGUACGGUCGCAAGGCUAAAACUCAAAGGAAUUGACGGGGGCUCACACAAGCGGUGGAGCAUGUGGAUUAAUUCGAAGCAACGCGCAGAACCUUACCUGGGUUUGACAUGUUUGGAUACUUGCCUGGAAACAGGUUAAGUUGCCCUUCGGGGUGAAACUUACACAGGUGCUGCAUGGCUGUCGUCAGCUCGUGUCGUGAGAUGUCGGGUUAAGUCCUUUAACGAGCGAAACCCUUGUCGUUAGUUACCAGCGAGUAAUGUCGGGAACUCUAACGAGACUGCCGGUGUUAAACCGGAGGAAGGUGGGGAUGACGUCAAGUCCUCAUGGCCUUUAUGCCCAGGGCUUCACACGUGCUACAAUGGCGUAUACAAAGCGACGCAAGACCGCAAGGUGGAGCAAAUCGCAGAAAGUACGCCUCAGUUCGGAUUGCAGGCUGUCAACUCGCCUGCAUGAAGUCGGAAUCGCUAGUAAUCGCGUAUCAGCUAUGACGCGGUGAAUGUGUUCCUGAGCCUUGUACACACCGCCCGUCAAGUCAUGGAAGUUGGGAGUACCCGAAGUCGGAUUGCUAACCUUUUAGGAGGCGUCUGCCGACGGUAAGCUCGAUGACUGGGACUAAGUCGAAACAAGGUA
This 1520-nucleotide ribosomal RNA is filed under the name metagenome. RNAcentral describes it as "bacterial SSU rRNA". It matches the Rfam family "Bacterial small subunit ribosomal RNA". The record is from RNAcentral.